Molecule: long non-coding RNA, 2925 nt
Filed under: Mus musculus (house mouse)
Lineage: Eukaryota; Metazoa; Chordata; Mammalia; Rodentia; Muridae
Description: predicted gene, 35330
Source: RNAcentral
AUGACUCAGCAGGGUGCCUGGAAUGCCCUGGGUUCUUGCCACUCAGGAGCUAGGGACACAGAGCCAGACAGCUGUGGUACAGAGAAAGAAGGGAGAGAGUUCUGUACAGGAGGCUUUUGUUUUGUAGCCCCUGAUCUCCAUAUGGGAUUCUCUUGGAAUCUUGGAGCUGUUUGGCCUGUUGAGUCAGAGAGAAGAAAUACUCUGGAAUUUACUUGUCUGAGAGAUCCAGCAAGUCAGAAGACAUCAUCAACAGCAUUAACCAACUGUGCAUCUCAAAACUGAGCUAUCAUACAGGGAGCUGACUUCAUAGAUGACUGCACAAGUUAAAGGUGCUUCUUUGCCUCCUGUUGAUACAUUAGUGGGAUCUGCUCAUCAAAUGUAGGAUUCCCAGGUUGCCAAUUUGAAAGAUGCUCUUACUCUUCUUUGGAAAUGAUCAGUUUUGGAAAAAUGUGUUGUUUUAUUUAAUCACACAUAUUUUUCAUGUAAAAAUAGUUUAGACUCCUUCAAAUAGUGUUUUUAAUUUCUUUCUGUAACCAUUUCCAUAUAGACACAGGCCUGGACAAUCAAGUAGAAAGAAUUUCUGUAAUAUACACAUCAUAGUCACAGCACCAACCACCCUUCAACUAUAAUAUUUCCUUAAAGACAUCAUUUAAACCUAACCCAAUCACUAAUAUAUUUAGGCUAGAGUUCUUAGCAACUAAAUGAAGCAUUACAUAAGAUAGGAACCUAACACUAUAUGAUUAGAAAUUGUAUCAUGUUGUCCUUGCAAGGCCAGAUUUUGUGCUGAAUAGAAAAGUGAGCCCAAUUUUAGAAACCAUCUAUCAAGAUUGAAAUAGCCUAAUCCUUCAUGCUUCAUUUUACCACCUGUUCUGUUACCAAUGAUGACAUGGAUCACAAAGACAGUAGCCUGAUGGAUAUCCAUUUACUUUCAAGAAGUUUUAGAAAUUCUUGGAUAAUUUUUCAAAAGGGCCAGGCCUGGUGGUAUACAUUUAAAAUCCCACUUAGGAAGAAGAAGCAGGAAAAUCAAAAGUUUAGUUUGUAAAAUUUAAUGAGACCCUAUGUACACAUAAAAAUUUAAAGGUGAGCUUACGAUGUGGAUUUUUAGUUGAGUGCUUGUCUAACAAGUACAGUAUCCUAGAUCCAAAACACAGUACACCCAUCUUCCAUUUUAAAUGCUCUCUCCCUCUAUGUAUAUGUAUAUGAAUAUAUGUGAAUAUCUACAUGUAUGUACAUGAAUAUAUGUGAAUAUCUGCAUAUCUGUCUAUGUGUAAGCAUUUAUAAAGACUAUACUGAUAUAACCAACUCUGUACAUAAACUAUGAUUACCUAAACGAACAGCUGGAUUUUCUGACAAGAGUGAUAUUCAUAAGAACGUGUCUAUGAGAAUUGUUUAUUGAUAGUUGUACUCUUCAAUAGUAAAAAUAUAAGACUACUUUGUGACCAUAUAUUUGUAAAGAAGAGUGUUAAAGAUCAGAAAACAAGCCUGCUGUCUCUUGCAUGCCAGCUUCACUACAGUGGGAAAAUAAAUUUGGAGGCAAUCUUGAUGUGAGGAGUUGAAUUUGCUUAUAUUUAAAGUCAGAGAAAACUUCUUACUUGACUAGUCUGCUGGACUUGAGACAGAAUGCUAAGUCCUGAUAGUUUUGAGGGAAAAUUACUCUCUGUGGUUCAUGAGCCUUUGGAAGGCACAGGCUGUACUACUUGCCAGCACUUGAAGGGGUGCCAGACGUUUAAUAGGCACCCAACCACAGCUUGAGUGGAAAAAAAAAUGUUAUCUGUGUAAUUGGUACUAUCACUUCCAAAGACAAUGCAGAACAUUUCUUUCUUCUUCUUUUAUUCCCUACCUCCUUCUAUUCUUCCUUCCUUCCUCCUAUUCUUCCUUCCUUCCUUCCUUCCUUCCUUCCUUCCUUCCUUCCUUCCUUCCUUCCUUCCUUCCUUCCCUCCUUCCUUCCUCUCUCUCUCCCACCCUUCCCUCUUUCCUUCCUUCCUACAUCCCACCUCUCCUUUCUUUCUUCCUAUCUUUUCUUUAGCAUCUCUUUCCUUUUGUUUUUAGAUGUUUCUUCAGAUCUUAUUUUUGAAACAGUGCCUUUCUGCACAGACAAGGCUACUAUUAAACUUGUGAUCCUCCUGCCUCAAAUCAGACUAUAUAAACAAUGGUUCUAGAAAGUAGUAGAAUUUAUAGACAUUAUUUCUUUUGGAAUACAUGAAACAAAACAGUGAAAGGUAUUCUGAACAAUCUAGAAUUUAUCCAAGAAAUGUAGAAAAAUGGGUUCAAGUGCUGUAACUAUGUAGAAAAUCUAGAUUGUAGGGAGGUGACAAUAUCUUACAUGUAAAAUGAAUAUAGUUUUCCCACAUGACCUGCACUAUACUAUUGAACUAGUUGAUAAAAUUACAAAGAUCAUAAUUGAUUGGUUGACUAACUGUUUUUUGAGAGGCUCUUAUUAUGUAGACUAGAUUGAUCAUUAAUUCAAUAAUACUCCUGCCUCAACCUACCAACAGGUAAUACUUUAUUAGAAUUUUCAAUAUGAGUUAUCUGAUGUUACCUGUGAAGGAAGUAACAUUGCAGAGGCAUCAUAAGAAUGUUGGAUUAAAAACUUGAUAUGGAUAGUGUAAAAGCCACUUUUUUUAUCAAGUGAGAAACAGAGUCAUUAUAAUAAAAGAUAACUCUCAGAUGUUAUUUCUUAGAGAAACAUGAAUAUCUUUGUACAUCUCAUAACUGUACUAAGAUUAUGCUAAAAGUAUAUGGCUUCAUUGUUUUAUAACAACUGGACCAAUUUGAGCCUUGAUUAGCUUGUUUUCUGAGGACAGAAAAAAUGGGCAUGGAUUUUAGGUUGAGCUGUAAACACAGAUUUUCUUACUUGAAUGGUAUUGAAAUGCUAGGAGUGCACUCAUUUGUUUGUUCUUUUUUUAAAUAAAUAUUUGCAUAUUA